Oncorhynchus tshawytscha (Chinook salmon) is the source of this 326-nucleotide long non-coding RNA. Lineage: Eukaryota; Metazoa; Chordata; Actinopteri; Salmoniformes; Salmonidae. The record is from Ensembl.
AGAGAGAGAUGUAGAGAGAGAGAGAGAUGUAGAGAGAGAUGUAGAGAGAGAUAUGUAGAGAGAGAGAUAGAGAGAGAGAGAGAGAUGUAGAGAGAGAGAGAUGUAGAGAGAGAGAGAUGUAGAGAGAGAGAGAGAUGUAGAGAGAGAGAGAUAUGUAGAGAGAGAGAGAUGUAGAGAGAGAGAGAUGUAGAGAGAGAGAGAUGUAGAGAGAGAGAGAGAUGUAGAGAGAGAGAGAGAGAGAGAUAUGUAGAGAGAGAGAUGUAGAGAGAGAGAGAGAGAGAGAGAGAGAGAGAUGUAGAGAGAGAGAGAGAGAGAGAGAGAGAGAG